Molecule: long non-coding RNA, 291 nt
Organism: Sebastes umbrosus (honeycomb rockfish)
Lineage: Eukaryota; Metazoa; Chordata; Actinopteri; Perciformes; Sebastidae
Exons: 3
Source: RefSeq, a predicted model, not a curated record
UGCACCGAUGGACUACGAGUUACGGGGCUCCCUCUUGAUGGCCACCGCCAGACACUUUUUCCUCAGCAAAUCCUCAACAGAUAUAACGUUACUAUAAAACUGGAGACUUGGAUUUUAGUCUUGUUAUUAGUACAACCAGUCACACAGCAGCUCUUUGUAUGUCGGGCAGGUGAACAUUAACAUUAGACUCCUGAUGGCUCUCUAUUAAAUAGCGUGUUGCUAUUUGCUAGCUAACGUAACCAGUUAGCCCUCAGUCAGAAAUGUAACGCCAAAAGUCAGUACAGUAAUGCA